UAAUGAUGGUGAGGGAAAUUUCUAAGCACACCCUUAAAUCUUUCCCAAGCCCGGUUAAGAUUUUCUCCAUUUUUUUGCUUGAAAUUUAGAAUCUUGCUUCUCAAGCA
Capsicum annuum is the source of this 107-nucleotide non-coding RNA. NCBI's taxonomy places the organism in Eukaryota, Viridiplantae, Streptophyta, Magnoliopsida, Solanales, Solanaceae. The record is from Rfam.